RNAcentral lists this unclassified non-coding RNA (2526 nucleotides) under Hevea brasiliensis (rubber tree). Lineage: Eukaryota; Viridiplantae; Streptophyta; Magnoliopsida; Malpighiales; Euphorbiaceae. The record is from RNAcentral.
AAAAAAAUGGAGGGGCAGCCGCAUCCAUACGUGCCGAGAGAUCUGAAACUGCCGGAUUACGUACCUGUACUCCUCUCUCAGUCCACCAUCCUUAGCGUCUAUGGAAUCUCUUCCCUUGUCGUCGUCUCCCUCGUCUGGGUACUUUCUGGUAAUUUAACUGCGUUUUCUGCUCAGCUAAAUGCUUGCAGAUCCACUUCAAUUGACUCUUUCGAUUUUUGUUAUUAAUCUUUACCACAAGUUUCUGAUUGAGUUCAAUAAGCAGAAGCACCACAUUAUUGGUACACUUUGAAUUAGAAUCUUGCAUUUCUGUUGUAUCUUCUCAUCCCAGAUCCCUCCACAAUUUGUGCUUGCAUUCUCAUUCUGCUGCUUAUGCUCCCACAUACUAGAAAGCGACAACUGUUAGUAUGUUUGAAUGGAAAGGUUUUAUAAAGUAAGUGAAGGUCAAAACCUUCCCAACUCAGUAAUUUAGUGGGUUAUAAAGGUGAGGUUUUUGGAGGUCUUCAUUAAAUUCAUUCCAAACAAUCUAAUUAAUUUACAAACCCAAAAACCUCCUCCCAAACAUAGUGUUAGGGACAUUAUAUUAUAUAGUAGCAAAUAUUAAGCAUCUAAGGUAUAACAUACCCAUUAGAUGAGUGUCCAAAAAUGUGUGUAUUAAGUGUAUUAUCUAAUAUUAUAACAAUUGAUAAGAUUAAGAAUGACCAUAUUUACUAGAGAGUGUAUGUAGUACACAUUGUGAAUAAAAUCUGAUGUUGAUUAAGAAGAUUUGAUUAUAUCCAACGUCGAGCAUCGAAUGUCCUAGUACAAAAGUGUGAUAAGUUAGUAGUUGAAUGAGUGAGAAGAGAGGAAAAUAUUUAAAACGACGUAAAGGAAAAUAAUAUGAAAAGAUUUACAAUUUUCAACUAUUGAUGCAAAAUUGGUUUUAAUUAAAAUUGAAUGGUAGAAAAGGAUCCAUAUAACUAACUCCGACUAGUUUGGGACUUAGACUUAGUUGUUGUUGUAUAAAGAAACCAUAAAAUUUCACUGAAAUGUAUUAUGCGCGCACGCGCGCACACAUAUAUAUGUUAAAAUUUAAUUUAGGUAGAAGAGAAAAAGAAGAGAAUGCAUUCAGUUGCAUUGAAUUGAUAUAUUCAAUUCAAUUUAAUCCAAGGGUAAAUUUUAAUCUGUUCACCAAGAAAGUGGCAAGUGGCUACCACCACAUAAUGCUUAGAAGUCAAAACUUUAUGAAAUCCUAGACUGCGCUGUUCUCAUCUUUCUCACUCAGCUUCCUGUGCUAGUCUAUGCUACUGCACUUAAUACAGUGGAAGGACACAGUUAAGCUAUAACCAAAAGCCUCUAAUGCAGAAAUUAGAGCUACCUGCCCGAGCUGCACAAAAUCUGAAUCUGAACUCUUCUCUAGAAUGUAAAUGCAACUUGUAAUCCCUAGACCUGCUUAGAAAUAUAAACAAACAAAAUAAUAAAAAUAUAAAUUAUUGCCCUUGACCAAUAGUAAGGUGGCUAUCAUCCUGGAGAAGGCAAAGUUUGAAUACUAUAGUCUGGAACAGAAACACUGAGAACGACAAAACAUAAAUAUAUUCAUAACUAUUUCUAGCACUCACAGAUUGGACUUUCAUCUACUUGGACAAACAAAUCUUAUAACUAACAUGGUAGGUAAUCCAUCAAACAUUGAUGGAGCUAUAUUAAUUGGAGUGGGUUUCAGGCUAGGAUCUUAAAUGACAUGAAUGAGCCCAGCAGCCCUUAGAUCAGAUAUUUGUUAUGAGAUUUAUGUAGCAUCAAAAUACUCAUGGAAAAUAUUUAAUACAAGGGCUUUUAUGCUCGUUCUUUUAUGAAAAAGGAUUUAUAGUAGCUGCACCUUUGUCAAAAAUACAUUCAAGAGAAAGCAAAAUUGAUAUCACUGUUAUGCUUUAGCUGGUUAUGUGCUAGAAUAUGACCUAGUGGACAAUUAUAAUUAUGAGGUACCAUUAGACUUAUUAAAUAUAAAUAGAAGAUUCGAAUAAAAAGCUACAUAUUGAAACUCCUGAAAUAGUAAUUAUGAAUGAUGAAUGGGCAGGACAUGAACUGAAAGAGGAGGAGAUGUAAUGAGGCAUUUUAGCAGUGUCUUCAAGGAGUAAAAUCUAUCUAAUUACAAGGAAAAUUAGCUGAAGAACGCGAAGCAAAAUCCAUAGAAGAUAGAGAGAGUAAUUGAUAUUUUAAUAUAGGUAACAAUGAAUAUUGCCAGUGUGCAGGAAGGAAAUGCACUAGAGGUAUGCUAUCAGAACUUCACUAGAAACAAUUUCUUUAAACAUGGAAAGAUGAUAUGCAGAUGUCUGCCACAGAGGAGAAAAUGCUUCCACAAAAUUAGCAGAAAACUGAAAGAUGAUAUGCAGAUGUCUGCCACAGAGGAGAAAAUGCUUCCACAAAAUUAGCAGAAAACUAUCUAGUUCUAUCAAUGUAACUAAAAGAAGAUAAUAAACAAGUCAGCAUGAUUUCUAACAUAUAAAUAAACAAUCACAGUAUCAUACACAAUGAGACCUGUAAGAACUCCGACCU